CUACAACCCCCAUUAGGAUGGAAUUCCAAAUUAAUUUCUUGUUUUGUUGCAGGAAACCAGGGUACACCCAUACAAACACCGGGAGAACCUAAACAACUCAUUGCAGAGAAUGGCCCUCAUUUACUAAGAAAAUCGGGUUAUCAGCAUCUUAUUGCAAGCAGGACAAGUGGCCCUUGUUCCUGGGACCUACCGGCUGACCAGCGACUUGGACACCAUCUGGUACCCCUUUAUUAGGGUGAUUUUUCUACUAUAUUGAGGUCCAAUGACGGCACUCCUGAAAAAUAGAGAACUGGCUACAACACAUUAGUAUUUGUUAUUUGUGCAUAUCUUUCCUUUACAGGUUGGGGAAUUAAAUUCCCUUAUGCCAAAAUACAUGAUUACUACC
This is a long non-coding RNA of Hyla sarda, 385 nucleotides long. RefSeq lists it as uncharacterized. The record is from RefSeq and is a predicted model, not a curated record. The transcript has 3 exons. Lineage: Eukaryota; Metazoa; Chordata; Amphibia; Anura; Hylidae.